CUUCCCUCUCUUUUCCUUUAUUUUUUCGCUUCCUCCCGACGGUCCAUCGGUCGGUCGAAGGAGAGAGGAGAGAAGGGGGUUAAGCGGGAGUUUAGGCGGCGGGGCGUAAAGGGCUGGGGGGCGUCUAGACCCUGGGAUGGGGCGGCCUAGCGGCGCGGCGGCGCCCUGAGCGCGCUAGGCUAGGGCGGCGUGGGUCAGCGGUUCAACCGCGGCGUCGCCUCCAGCGUCGCGGAGCGGCCGCCGCCGCGCCCCAGGCGGCGGCGGCGGCGCCCACGACCUCCCCGCAGGCGCGUCGGGCGGCUGUACCCCCUGAGAUCGCUGCGGCAGUACCGCGCCACCGACGUCAGGCGCCCCGACGUCGUGGAGCGCCGGAGCAGCCGCCCGGGGCGGCCCCUGGUUGCGCCGCGGCCGCACCCCCCGGAACCUCCGCGGCGGCCUCCUCGCCCGUACGACGGAUCAGACGAGUACGUCCCGAUACCUGGUGUCAGUCAACUUCUCUUUGUUUCCGAUAUAUACGACAACUCUUUGAACUUAAAAUUGCCUCUUAGAAACGGACGUAGUCAGAGACUCGGGAUAUGUGGUUGACGAGUCUUUAAACCGUCACCCUGAAGGCGUCUCCCAGACAUAAGUGGACUUGAAUCUCCACUUGAACCUCGACCAGAAGACCUAGAGGUACGAUACCUACUGUGACCUGAAGAAAGACUCCUACAUCUAAGUCUUGGUAAACUCGGAAGUGGGAAAUACGGUUUCCUUUAACUACUACUACUCCUACUAUACUAUUGUCCUUCGGUCGAUCCAGGUCGACUAUUGAUAUUACGUCACUGCUCACUUUUCCUCUAGUUAUGAUCUCUUUUAUUACAUCGCUUCUAGUUUCAACACCAUUCUUUCUCCGGGGACUUGUCUUUUCUCAAUAGAGCUUUCCUUCUACUACGACAUCGACACGUACUAAGUAGAAGAAACUGUCAAAUACUUGGAUUCGACUUCCAGCUGAACUGUCGAAUACACCUCGUCGUACUUAAAACAAAACUGCGACAGGACCUACUCCUACAAAGAUUACUGCUCCACAUAGCACUCUGUCACCUUGGGUAAUAUGGUUAUUAUAAGGUCUCUUGUUUUCGCUGUACAAAACGAAUACCUGUUUGUCCAUCACCCUUCUGUAUGUGUUACGUUGGAAACGGAGACUCUCGACGAGUUCUGUACUAAGCAGAAAACGUAGUUGGACAGAUGGCCUUAGUUUUAAAAUUCGACACCGAGUCGAUGAAGCUCUAUAUGCCACCCUUUGAGAUACUAGAAGAUAGUCUGUCUUCUGUGAAUGACUACUCCCUCCUACCGUUCUUUGUUCAAACGUAUCAGCCAGACGUCCUUAAACUCCAAAGACUACAGGUCCAACAGUCCCUUAUAUAACUCUCCCCUUUACGUCGUUCCUCGUGUCCCAGAUGUCCCCGGUUACUUCUCAGUAGCUCCAGUGUACGGUAAGACGUUGACCGACACUUCUUCGUAUAAUAUCAUUGACUUUGAUCCUCUGUUUCCCUGUCCCUACGGUUACUUCGAUUUUUGUGUUUCCGUCACCCUUUUUAUAGAAAAUAACUAGAACGACCUUCGCUUGCACCGCGACUAUGUUGUCUAUUACUAUCCGUCUGUUCUUAACUUCCACGUCUCUAUUUGUUCUCGGAGGAACGAGACUUCCUUACGUAGGCCCGGGAACUGUUACUAGUCUAUGUGUAAGGAAAGUCUCCUUCGUUCGAGUGUCUCCAAGAGGCACUGAGUAAACAACCGUUGAGAUCCUGCCACUACUAAAGAACGUAAAGAGGGUUACGUCCAAGUACACUUGUGUGCAAUUUAUGCAACUCUAUACGGCUAUCCCAAUUUUCAGAAAGUUUCCCACCGUUGUGUUCUUUCCUCGUCAGAUGACGUGGUUGAUAAGGAAGGUACUCCCUCAGAAGUAGACGAGGUAGGAUAGGAAAUAGACAACUCCGACUUCUUCAUGGGUUGGUCUAGGUCCUCUUCUCUGGACAGCUAUAUAGAUCCUCUCCGCGACUUUUAAAAUGGAGGUUGAGAAGCUACCUCGGACUGUCCUUAUUGAAAUCAUACUAGGGUUCAAUAAGAUUAUCUCCUUUUCUCCUUUUGCCACGUAGACCAAACUUACUAUCCCUCUCCCAACUAAAGUCAAGACCGGCUUGACAAAUGUUGUCAUUUCGUGUCAAUUAAGUCUUAAGUCGUUUACGUGUUCUCCUACUUUUCCAAUGCUCUCAGAGUGGAGGGUCCUCCUUCCAGUAUUCCCUUCUGUUCAGACUUUUCGUCUUGAUGUACUUUUUCCUAUCACCUUAGCUCCGUUCAGCCGGACCUAUAUUCCACGUCGUCCAUUCCGUCAACGUUGUCGUCGUUGCUGGUUGUAGACGAAGUCGAAGAGUCCAAAGUUCCGUUAGACUUUUUCUUUCAAGUACACUACUACACCUCUAUCUACGGUAAGAGCUCCUUCUCCUCCGGGAGUAACGUCGAGUGUCCUUCCUUUAGCUCUUAUGUUACCUCUAGCACGCGCUUCUCUACUUGGAAGACCGUCUUCAACUGGUUGGUCCGUCGGAAUAACUGCUGAUACACUGUGUUAACUCGAAAGAAAACAGUGCGUUCCGACGUCCGAACCAGUCGGAGGUUCGUGCGGAAAGUUCCAAAGUUGUCGCGGAGUUUCUCGUCCUCUAGGAAUCGGCCUUCUUUAGUAGGUCUAUCGACCAGUAGCGAGUAACUGAGGCCGGAAAACGGACGAGUCAUUUAAAUGUCCUCGAACUGGCGUAAAGAACUCUACAAAGAGAAGACACCAGAGGACAUUACAACCUGGACUCGUUGCUCGAUUUUCUUCUGUGGCGUAACCGAGUCCUGACCUACGUACCGAACGGGAGUUACGGCAAAAGGAAACAUACUCCUCUGCAGGCUGCAUUGACAAACGUCUAUACCUACCCAACUAAAAACCGUCGCCGAGGACAUGAUAACACCUGUGUCUAUGUAAUAACAACAUAAGAAAUGACUAUAACAAAAGCAGCUGUUUACUUUUACACACAAACACACACACACCGUUUCCUGAGCUUUCAAAGGGGGGGUAACACGGGUCACUUUUAAAGUCUGUCCAUACUAAUACUUACCAAACACUGAUCACUAGACGCUUCACACGUGUUGACUUAAAGUCAACAGUAAACACAAGAACACUCUCAAUCACGUAGUCUUUUAUUACGAGAACAUAGACCGAAAGAUGUAAUCUAGACGUUCGGAGAGUAG
This 3267-nucleotide ribosomal RNA is filed under the name Triticum aestivum (bread wheat). RNAcentral describes it as "partial small subunit ribosomal RNA". The record is from RNAcentral. Lineage: Eukaryota; Viridiplantae; Streptophyta; Magnoliopsida; Poales; Poaceae.